This is a long non-coding RNA of Aplysia californica (California sea hare), 292 nucleotides long. RefSeq lists it as uncharacterized. Lineage: Eukaryota; Metazoa; Mollusca; Gastropoda; Aplysiida; Aplysiidae. The record is from RefSeq and is a predicted model, not a curated record. The transcript has 2 exons.
AUGUUUUUCUUCCUGGACAGAUGGGCAAGUUACCUUUGUGAUUCCUUGUGACCGCGGAGGCUGUGUGAUUGGUCACAAUCAGAACGUGUCUCAUUUUGACCUUGACACUUCUGCUCUCACGAAGCUGGUGAGCGUGGAGGAGGGGCUGGAGACUCGCUUCAAUGACGCUAAGUGUGACGCCUCUGGCAGGCUGUGGGCGGGUACGAUGGGCCAUGAGGGAGACAUCCCUGGAGUGGUCAAGCUCGGUCUAGGAAGUCUGUACAGUUUGUCCACUGACCACAACAUAAAGAAA